Molecule: unclassified non-coding RNA, 273 nt
Filed under: Hevea brasiliensis (rubber tree)
Lineage: Eukaryota; Viridiplantae; Streptophyta; Magnoliopsida; Malpighiales; Euphorbiaceae
Source: RNAcentral
UCCUUCUACCCUUUCUCCUUCUGGAAUGGUUUGACGCCUUAGAAAUAGGGUGCCUCCCCUUAAUUGUGAAAGAUUUGUGGAGUUUUUGAAUUUGGAAUAGCACCUUUUCUUAAAUUUCAUUUAUUUCUCUCCAAUUUUUUGCCCUAGUUUCAUUCUAUAAGGCUUCCCUCUUUUCAUUGUUAACGUUGAAAGAAAAAAUUGAAAAAUCUUAGCUUUGUAGACCGAAAGAAAAAGAGCAGCGCCGGUGAAAUGGAUACAAGACACAUAUCAAAG